UACGAAGGGGGCUAGCGUUGUUCGGAUUACUGGGCGUAAAGCGCACGUAGGCGGAUUGUUAAGUGAGGGGGUGAAAUCCUGGAGCUCAACUCCAGAACUGCCUUUCAUACUGGCAAUCUAGAGUCCGGAAGAGGUAAGUGGAACUCCUAGUGUAGAGGUGGAAUUCGUAGAUACUUAGGAAGAAACACCAGUGGCGAAGGCGGCUUACUGGUCCGGUACUUGACGCUGAGGUGCGAAAGCGUGGGGGAGCAAACAGG
RNAcentral lists this ribosomal RNA (257 nucleotides) under uncultured bacterium. RNAcentral describes it as "partial 16S ribosomal RNA". It matches the Rfam family "Bacterial small subunit ribosomal RNA", at positions 524 to 776 of the family's 1533-position model. The record is from RNAcentral.